AUACGGGGGGUGCAAGCGUUAAUCGGAAUUACUGGGCGUAAAGCGCGCGUAGGCGGUUUGCUCAGUCGGAUGUGAAAGCCCAGGGCUCAACCUUGGAACUGCAUACGAUACUGGUAAACUAGAGUGUGAGAGGGGAUAGUGGAAUUUCCGGUGUAGCGGUGAAAUGCGUAGAUAUCGGAAGGAACAUCAGUGGCGAAGGCGACUGUCUGGCUCAACACUGACGCUGAGGUGCGAAAGCGUGGGGAGCAAACAGGAUUAGAAACCCUAGUAGUCC
Molecule: ribosomal RNA, 274 nt
Filed under: uncultured bacterium
Lineage: Bacteria
Description: partial 16S ribosomal RNA
Rfam family: Bacterial small subunit ribosomal RNA
Source: RNAcentral